Molecule: transfer RNA, 73 nt
Organism: Deferribacter desulfuricans SSM1
Lineage: Bacteria; Pseudomonadati; Deferribacterota; Deferribacteres; Deferribacterales; Deferribacteraceae
Rfam family: tRNA
About the family: Transfer RNA (tRNA) molecules are approximately 80 nucleotides in length. Their secondary structure includes four short double-helical elements and three loops (D, anti-codon, and T loops).
Source: Rfam
GGGCGGUUAGCUCAACAGGAUAGAGCGCAGGUCUCCGGAACCUGGUGUGGGAGUUCGAGUCUCCCACCGCCCG